Molecule: ribosomal RNA, 175 nt
Filed under: uncultured bacterium
Lineage: Bacteria
Description: partial 16S ribosomal RNA
Rfam family: Bacterial small subunit ribosomal RNA
Source: RNAcentral
AAGCCGGAAUUGCUAGUAAUGGCAGGUCAGCAUACUGCCGUGAAUACGUUCCGGGCCUUGUACACACCGCCCGUCACACCAUGAGAGUUGGGAAUACCCGAAGCCUGUGAGCUAACUUUAGAGGCAGCAGUCGAAGGUAGAAUCAAUGAUUGGGGUGAAGUCGUAACAAGGUAAC